GCAUGCAAGUCGAGCGACGCAUACUGGCGGGGUAACCCACCAGUAUGACGGAGCGGCGAACGGGUGAGUAACACGUGAGCAACCUGCCCCGAAGACUGGGAUAACCCAGGGAAACCUGGACUAAUACCGGAUACUCUCGGAUCUCCGCAUGGAGGACCGAGGAAAGGCUUUAGCGCUUCGGGAUGGGCUCGCGGCCUAUCAGCUUGUUGGUGGGGUAACGGCCCACCAAGGCUUCGACGGGUAGCUGGUCUGAGAGGACGAUCAGCCACACUGGGACUGAGAUACGGACCAGACUCCUACGGGAGGCAGCAGUAGGGAAUAUUGGUCAAUGGGCGAGAGCCUGAACCAGCCAUGCCGCGUGCAGGAAGACGGCCUUCUGGGUUGUAAACUGCUUUUACCAGGGGAUAAAAGGCCCAUGCGUGGGACAUUGAAGGUACCUGGUGAAUAAGCCACGGCUAACUAC
This 463-nucleotide ribosomal RNA is filed under the name uncultured bacterium. Its description in RNAcentral is "bacterial SSU rRNA". It matches the Rfam family "Bacterial small subunit ribosomal RNA", at positions 53 to 504 of the family's 1533-position model. The record is from RNAcentral.